AUGGAAAUUUAUUUCGCCAAACAGUGCAGAAGCCACUCAAAAGUGAAAUGAGCAAUGGAGGGGAGGAAGGAAAGAUUGGUUGAUUUGCUGUAUCAGAUGAAAUUCAUGGGUGAAUGAAAAAGAAAAAAAGGUUUGCAAGAGGAUGGAUGAGUGAGAUUGAAAAAAUAUUAGAUCUCGAAUAAAUUCUUUCUAUCCAUCUUUCAUAGUAUACAAUCGAAAACAAGAUAGAACACAUCCAUGCCAUCCAUACUUCUAUCUUUUUUUUUCUUUCUCUCUCUCUCUCUCCCCCCCUAGCAUUCCUCCAACAACCUCUUUAUAAACGAUAUCCUCUUCUCUUCCCUUCCUACACCAAUAUCCUCCUAUUUUGUCUCUGAUGUCAUGCUGACCUCCACCCACUUUACACUUUUACCUCGCCAUUGCACCGUGUCGCUUACCGCAAAACCUCAUCGAGUCAUGGAUGCGCAACGUCACCACCAUCGUAAGCGAAUACAGAGUUGGAACGAGCGGCUCGCAUGAUGCCAAUGACGUACGUUAAC
Non-coding RNA from Schizosaccharomyces pombe (fission yeast), 536 nucleotides. NCBI's taxonomy places the organism in Eukaryota, Fungi, Ascomycota, Schizosaccharomycetes, Schizosaccharomycetales, Schizosaccharomycetaceae. The record is from the annotation of a GenBank genome assembly.